Molecule: ribosomal RNA, 560 nt
Filed under: Escherichia coli
Lineage: Bacteria; Pseudomonadati; Pseudomonadota; Gammaproteobacteria; Enterobacterales; Enterobacteriaceae
Description: partial 23S ribosomal RNA
Rfam family: Bacterial large subunit ribosomal RNA
Source: RNAcentral
GGGUUGUGAGGUUAAGCGACUAAGCGUACACGGUGGAUGCCCUGGCAGUCAGAGGCGAUGAAGGACGUGCUAAUCUGCGAUAAGCGUCGGUAAGGUGAUAUGAACCGUUAUAACCGGCGAUUUCCGAAUGGGGAAACCCAGUGUGAUUCGUCACACUAUCAUUAACUGAAUUCAUAGGUUAAUGAGGCGAACCGGGGGAACUGAAACAUCUAAGUACCCCGAGGAAAAGAAAUCAACCGAGAUUCCCCCAGUAGCGGCGAGCGAACGGGGAGCAGCCCAGAGCCUGAAUCAGUGUGUGUGUUAGUGGAAGCGUCUGGAAAGGCGCGCGAUACAGGGUGACAGCCCCGUACACAAAAAUGCACAUGCUGUGAGCUCGAUGAGUAGGGCGGGACACGUGGUAUCCUGUCUGAAUAUGGGGGGACCAUCCUCCAAGGCUAAAUACUCCUGACUGACCGAUAGUGAACCAGUACCGUGAGGGAAAGGCGAAAAGAACCCCGGCGAGGGGAGUGAAAAAGAACCUGAAACCGUGUACGUACAAGCAGUGGGAGCACAGAGCAAUC